This 800-nucleotide ribosomal RNA is filed under the name uncultured bacterium. RNAcentral's name for it is "bacterial SSU rRNA". It matches the Rfam family "Bacterial small subunit ribosomal RNA", at positions 8 to 808 of the family's 1533-position model. The record is from RNAcentral.
AGAGUUUGAUCCUGGCUCAGGAUGAACGCUGGCGGCGUGCUUAACACAUGCAAGUCGAACGGGACUCUAUGGAUCAAGGCUUCGGCCAAGUGAGAUUGAGUUUAGUGGCGGACGGGUGAAUAACGCGUGAGGAACCUGCCUUUCAGAGGGGAAUAACAGUUGGAAACGACUGCUAAUACCGCAUAACGCAUAAAGGCCGCAUGACCUAUAUGCCAAAGAUUUAUCGCUGAGAGAUGGCCUCGCGUCUGAUUAGCUAGUUGGCGGGAUAACAGCCCACCAAGGCGACGAUCAGUAGCCGGACUGAGAGGUUGGCCGGCCACAUUGGGACUGAGAUACGGCCCAGACUCCUACGGGAGGCAGCAGUGGGGAAUAUUGGGCAAUGGGCGCAAGCCUGACCCAGCAACGCCGCGUGAAGGAAGAAGGUCUUCGGAUUGUAAACUUCUUUUGUCGGGGACGAUGAUGACGGUACCCGGCGAAUAAGCUCCGGCUAACUACGUGCCAGCAGCCGCGGUAAUACGUAGGGAGCGAGCGUUAUCCGGAUUUACUGGGUGUAAAGGGCGUGUAGGCGGGACCGCAAGUCAGAUGUGAAAACUCCGGGCUCAACUCGGAGCCUGCAUUUGAAACUGUGGUUCUUGAGUGAUGGAGAGGCAAGCGGAAUUCCUAGUGUAGCGGUGAAAAUGCGUAGAUAUUAGGAGGAACACCAGUGGCGAAGGCGGCUUGCUGGACAUUAACUGACGCUAAGGCGCGAAAGCGUGGGGAGCAUACAGGAUUAGAUACCCUGGUAGUCCACGCCGUAAACG